This 402-nucleotide ribosomal RNA is filed under the name uncultured prokaryote. RNAcentral's name for it is "bacterial SSU rRNA". It matches the Rfam family "Bacterial small subunit ribosomal RNA", at positions 355 to 774 of the family's 1533-position model. The record is from RNAcentral.
UAACGAAUAUUGGGCAAUGGGGGAAACCCUGAACCAGCAACGCCGCGUGAAGGAAGAAGGCCUUCGGGUUGUAAACUUUUUUGACGAGGGACGAUAAUGACGGUACCUCGAAAACAAGCUCCGGCUAACUACGUGCCAGCAGCCGCGGUAAUACGGAGGAUGCAAGCGUUAUCCGGAUUCAUUGGGUUUAAAGGGUGCGUAGGCGGAAUAAUAAGUCAGUGGUGAAAGCCUGCGGCUUAACCGUAGAAAUGCCAUUGAUACUGUUAUUCUUGAGUAUAAUUGAGGUGGGCGGAAUGUGUAAUGUAGCGGUGAAAUGCUUAGAUAUUACACAGAACACCGAUUGCGAAGGCAGCUUACUGGGCCAUUACUGACGCUGAUGCACGAAAGCGUGGGGAGCGAACA